Molecule: ribosomal RNA, 253 nt
Filed under: uncultured bacterium
Lineage: Bacteria
Description: partial 16S ribosomal RNA
Rfam family: Bacterial small subunit ribosomal RNA
Source: RNAcentral
UACGUAGGGGGCUAGCGUUGUCCGGAAUCAUUGGGCGUAAAGAGCGCGUAGGCGGCCAGAUAAGUCCGGUGUGAAAGUCAAAGGCUCAACCUUUGAAUGCCGCUGGAAACUGUCUGGCUAGAGUCCGGGAGGGGCGAGUGGAAUUCCCGGUGUAGCGGUGAAAUGCGCAGAUAUCGGGAGGAACACCAAUUGCGAAGGCAGCUCGCUGGGACGUCACUGACGCUGAGACGCGAAAGCGUGGGGAGCAAACAGG